RNAcentral lists this ribosomal RNA (511 nucleotides) under uncultured fungus. RNAcentral's name for it is "eukaryotic LSU rRNA". The stretch from base 128 to 281 matches the Rfam family "5.8S ribosomal RNA". The record is from RNAcentral. Lineage: Eukaryota; Fungi.
CCGUUGCUUCGGCGGGCCGGUCUCCGUGACUGCCCGGCUCCCCUCUGGGGGCGCCCGCCGGAGGUUACCUAAAAAAACCCUUUGCGUUUGUGUGGCCUCUCUGAGUCUUCUGUACUGAAUAAGUCAAAACUUUCAACAACGGAUCUCUUGGUUCUGGCAUCGAUGAAGAACGCAGCGAAAUGCGAUAAGUAAUGUGAAUUGCAGAAUUCCGUGAAUCAUCGAAUCUUUGAACGCACAUUGCGCCCGCCAGUAUUCUGGCGGGCAUGCCUGUCCGAGCGUCAUUUCCAACCAUCAAGCCCCGGGCUUGUGUUGGGGACCUGCGGCUGCCCGCAGGCCCUGAAAACCAGUGGCGGGCUCGCCGACACUCCGAGCGCAGUAGUACCUAUCUCGCUCAGGGCGUGUCGCGGGCUCCGGCCGUUAAACGAGGCGCUCCGUCGCCUCCCCCCCCAAAGGUUGACCUCGGAUCAGGUAGGAGGACCCGCUGAACUUAAGCAUAUCAAUAAGCGGAGGA